Panthera pardus (leopard) is the source of this 68-nucleotide microRNA precursor. Ensembl annotates it as microRNA 20b. Its record names the gene MIR20B. The record is from Ensembl. Lineage: Eukaryota; Metazoa; Chordata; Mammalia; Carnivora; Felidae.
GUACCAAAGUGCUCAUAGUGCAGGUAGUUUUGGCUUUACUCUACUGUAGUGUGGGCACUUCCAGUACU